Molecule: long non-coding RNA, 1349 nt
Organism: Strongylocentrotus purpuratus (purple sea urchin)
Lineage: Eukaryota; Metazoa; Echinodermata; Echinoidea; Camarodonta; Strongylocentrotidae
Exons: 3
Source: RefSeq, a predicted model, not a curated record
AAAUAAGAUGUGGAAGAAGAAGAAGAGUCGGAAUAUACGUGUGCCAUAUUUUAUACAUGAUCUACCUCCAUCGCUGGACACAAUGAAGUCAUGUAUUUAUUGCUUUCCUAAUAUAUGUUUGUCCAUUUGGGUAAAUGGUAACGAAAUUAGAUACUUGUUUUACACACAGCUCCAUAUGCAGCUAUAGGCGGUGGAGUUGCAGCAACAGUAGUGGUAGUGUCUAUCAUCAUCAUUCUCGUUUAUAGAUGCAAGUGCAAGCCGAAACAAGACCCAAACUAUGGUUCUGGUCUCGAGAAGAUUGCUGAUGGAGAAGCACCACCUCCUGGGUACAAGACUACGAUUGUGGCUUUCCCCGAAGCCUCUGGCUGUGACACCUUGCGCAUGAACAUGGAGAACGACCAGCAAGGCGAGAUCGAGAAUGAAUAUUCAACGCCCCGAAUGAAGAGAGGGACCAUGGAGGCAGAGUAUGUCAACAUGAAGACCAGAGACAAUCAAGUAGUCAUGGUAACGGAGGAUAUCUACGAAAACAUGGCGGACGAUGCUGCACGUAAACACGCCGUAACUUCGAAGGAAGCGGAAUAUUCGGUUGUAAUCUAAAGCUCAAUUGAGGGAAAUCUGAUUUCAUGAUUUUAUAGGCUCAAAGUUCAUGCUGAAGAACAUCCCGGAAAGCUUCAUUACAUAGUUUGUGAUGCUCAGAUCACCCCUGGCCUGCAAAUAAAUGCCGGUGUUGUCAUCGAUUCGAACUCUAAAUCAUAAUAUAUCCCACACAGUCAUGUAUAGCCUUUAGAUUCCAACUCUGCAACCCUUCACACAUCCGAAGAUUUUGUCUCAACUCCCUGCUGACUUGACGUGUAAGGCUACUGAAACCUUGGGCUUGUUCAUUCCCUUAUAUUUUCCCGCUUAGGCUUUUAAAUUCGCUUCCGAUACAAUAUUCCUGACUACCAGCUGCAACGCCACUAAAAACUCCUUCAGAACUCAGAGGUCAGACAUGUAGCGCUCGUAAGGCGCGACUUACAUCUCACCCAUCCUUCAGGCACGUACUCCGCACGGUGACUCCGCUCCAGCUGCUCACACCCAAGUUGUUUACAUUCCAAGUUCACGGCACUCUAUGGGAAGGCGAUCGCUUUCAAGUUUUGGUCCUGAACUGUGGAACACACUCCCUCCUCACCUCCAUCCUCACCUCUAAAAUGGAUUUACCUCUCCAUGUUUCGUAUUUCAUUCUACAUGUAUAUAGUAUAUGAAACUUGCAUUGAGGUAUGGAGGAAGAAAUUACAACAAGAUAAUCAGUUAAAUUAUACUGGAGGCGCACACAAGUAGUUAAUUCCAGUCAACUUAAUUGUAUUGUAUUA